This 588-nucleotide ribosomal RNA is filed under the name uncultured bacterium. RNAcentral's name for it is "bacterial SSU rRNA". It matches the Rfam family "Bacterial small subunit ribosomal RNA", at positions 338 to 916 of the family's 1533-position model. The record is from RNAcentral.
CCUACGGGAGGCAGCAGUGGGGAAUUGUUCGCAAUGGGCGCAAGCCUGACGACGCAACGCCGCGUGGAGGAUGAAGAUCUUCGGGUCGUAAACUCCUUUCGAUCGAGACGAAUGGCCCUCGGGCUAACAUCCUGAGGGAGUGACGGUACCGAGAGAAGAAGCCCCGGCUAACUCCGUGCCAGCAGCCGCGGUAAUACGGGGGGGGCAAGCGUUGUUCGGAAUUACUGGGCGUAAAGGGCUCGUAGGCGGCCAACUAAGUCAUACGUGAAAUCCCUCGGCUUAACCGGGGAACUGCGUCUGAUACUGGAUGGCUUGAGUUCGGGAGAGGGAUGCGGAAUUCCAGGUGUAGCGGUGAAAUGCGUAGAUAUCUGGAGGAACACCGGUGGCGAAGGCGGCAUCCUGGACCGAUACUGACGCUGAGGAGCGAGAGCCAGGGGAGCAAACGGGAUUAGAUACCCCGGUAGUCCUGGCCCUAAACGAUGAAUGCUUGGUGUGGCGGGUAUCGAUCCCUGCCGUGCCGAAGCUAACGCAUUAAGCAUUCCGCCUGGGGAGUACGGUCGCAAGGCUGAAACUCAAAUGAAUUGACGG